This is a long non-coding RNA of Cervus elaphus (red deer), 533 nucleotides long. RefSeq lists it as uncharacterized. NCBI's taxonomy places the organism in Eukaryota, Metazoa, Chordata, Mammalia, Artiodactyla, Cervidae. The record is from RefSeq and is a predicted model, not a curated record. The transcript is spliced from 4 exons.
CUACCCAACUCUGGCUAUGGUCAAUAUUAGCUGGAUAAUUCCCUGAAUCUGGCUCAUGUGGAAUCUUGCAAGGACAAAGAGGAUUUGCUCACUGAUCAGUGAGAGAGCCCUACACUGUGAAAGAUUGAUCCAUGCUGGUGACCUACUGACACAUCCUUAACCACCUGGGUUGGAGCAUGAGUUGAUUCAGCAGGAAGCAGGAAGAUCACACAUCGAGCAUCUUCAAUGGACCAGGCAUUGUAAUAGGCACUCGAGAAACAAGGAUAUUCCCAGUCCUCAAGGAUCUUCCCUUCUGGUUUGCAAGGAAAUGCUCUAAGUACAUGUUGGAAAUUUUGAACCAUAAAACAAAAAUCUAGGUCUGAGUUCAUGUUAAGAGGAAUUCCACAGAGAAGAAAUUCCUGGAGCACUUUUUAAAAACAAUGGUAAUAACACCUCCCUACUGCAGAGGAAAGCUUCGAGCCAUCCAUAAAAAAAAGUCACACAGCUAAGCCAUGAGAGUGUCCCAUUUCCUGGAAACAGUCAAUAAAAUCAAU